This 77-nucleotide transfer RNA is filed under the name Klebsiella pneumoniae. RNAcentral's name for it is "tRNA-Glu". It matches the Rfam family "tRNA". From Rfam's summary of the family: Transfer RNA (tRNA) molecules are approximately 80 nucleotides in length. Their secondary structure includes four short double-helical elements and three loops (D, anti-codon, and T loops). RNAcentral also lists the same sequence under 52 other names. The record is from RNAcentral. Lineage: Bacteria; Pseudomonadati; Pseudomonadota; Gammaproteobacteria; Enterobacterales; Enterobacteriaceae.
GCUCCUGUCGUCUAAGCUGGUUAGGACACCACUCUUUCACAGUGGGAACACGGGUUCGAACCCCGUCGGGAGUACCA